GACGAACGCUGGCGGCGUGCUUAACACAUGCGAGUCGAACGGAAAGGCCCUGCUUUUGUGGGGUGCUCGAGUGGCGAACGGGUGAGUAACACGUGAGUAACCUGCCCUUGACUUUGGGAUAACUUCAGGAAACUGGGGCUAAUACCGGAUAGGAGCUCCUGCUGCAUGGUGGGGGUUGGAAAGUUUCGGCGGUUGGGGAUGGACUCGCGGCUUAUCAGCUUGUUGGUGGGGAAGUGGCUUACCAAGGCUUUGACGGGUAGCCGGCCUGAGAGGGUGACCGGCCACAUUGGGACUGAGAUACGGCCCAGACUCCUACGGGAGGCAGCAGUGGGGAAUAUUGCACAAUGGGCGGAAGCCUGAUGCAGCAACGCCGCGUGCGGGAUGACGGCCUUCGGGUUGUAAACCGCUUUCGCCUGUGACGAAGCGUGAGUGACGGUAAUGGGUAAAGAAGCACCGGCUAACUACGUG
RNAcentral lists this ribosomal RNA (468 nucleotides) under uncultured bacterium. RNAcentral's name for it is "partial 16S ribosomal RNA". It matches the Rfam family "Bacterial small subunit ribosomal RNA", at positions 28 to 507 of the family's 1533-position model. The record is from RNAcentral.